RNAcentral lists this transfer RNA (67 nucleotides) under Bostrichoidea sp. 3 KM-2017. RNAcentral describes it as "tRNA-Asp". Lineage: Eukaryota; Metazoa; Arthropoda; Insecta; Coleoptera. The record is from RNAcentral.
AAAAACUUAGUUAAACUAUAACAUCAGAUUGUCAAACUGAAAUCAUUAUCGUAAAUAAUAGUUUUUU